This 440-nucleotide ribosomal RNA is filed under the name uncultured bacterium. RNAcentral's name for it is "partial 16S ribosomal RNA". It matches the Rfam family "Bacterial small subunit ribosomal RNA", at positions 338 to 795 of the family's 1533-position model. The record is from RNAcentral.
CCUACGGGAGACAGCAGUAGGGAAUAUUGCUCAAUGGGGGAAACCCUGAAGCAGCAACGCCGCGUGGGGGAUGAAGGUUUUCGGAUUGUAAACUUCUUUUGUUAGAGAAGAAAAUGACGGUAUCUGACUAUUAAGCACCGGCUAACUCCGUGCCAGCAGCCGCCGUAAUACGGAGGGUGCAAGCGUUAUUCGGAUUCACUGGGCGUAAAGAGCGCGUAGGCGGGAUAGCAAGUCAGAUGUGAAAUCCUAUGGCUUAACCAUAGAACUGCAUUUGAAACUGUUAAUCUAGAGUGUAGGAGAGGUAGGUGGAAUUCUUGGUGUAGCGGUAAAAUCCGUAGAGAUCAAGAGGAAUACUCAUUGCGAAGGCGACCUGCUAGACUAUAACUGACGCUGAUGCGCGAAAGCGUGGGGAGCAAACAGGAUUAGAUACCCUGGUAGUC